UAUCCGUACUGUUCAUGAGAUGCACCUAACAGUUAACGGCGUUAGUCUGCCGUUAGUAGAGUUUUACUAUUUUGCCCUUAAUUGUGUUAUGGCGUCAUUUACUUACCUUCCCUUUGACAGAAACUCAAAAAAAAAAAAAAAUCUCAUAUUCUUUUCUUUCUCUCCCCUCUCCCCUGUUCUUCUUCAAGUGAAUACUCGAAACCCAGUAAUUCUGGGUAGACCCUCCUGCUCUCUGAUCGCCGGCGGCGUCCGAUCACCGCUCUCUGGUCGCCGGCGGAGGCCGGUCUCUGGUCGCCGGCAGUGAUCCGGUGUUACGCACUCACAUUCGCCCUCUCAGUGUUCCUUCUCAUCACUCCCUCCAUUUCAAUCUACUGUGAUGAGGACGAUUGCUAUUAUCUGCUUGGGGUUUCUCCAAAGUGCGAACACUUCGAAAAUUACGAAAUCUUACUACAAGUUAUCCUUGAAAUACCAUCCUGACAAGAAUCCGGACCCUGAAUCAAAGAAAUUGUUUGUAAAGGUUGCAAAUGCAAACGGUAACUGUGUUGGUUGUUUUUAAUCUGUACUUGAUUUAACUUAAUGUGCUGGAAAUUUAAAGGUAACAUUUUGUUUCGAAUUCGCAAGUCUAGUGAUUGGUGUUAUUAAUUUGUUUAAUAGCUAAGAUUAUUGUGGUUUUACUUGGUUUAAAAUGCCAAUUUGGUACCGUUUUCCACCUUUUGGGCGGAGGAAUUUGGAAAAUGAUGGAAUGUAAUUUGAAUAACCGCAGUCAACCAUCUCCGAUCAGGCCUGAAAAAGCAUCCCCCACUGUAAAAUUUGAAUUUGAGGAACAAAUUGCGAUUAACCAAUCCCCUCAAAUUGUUUCUGAUCCAUCCUUAAUUAGACGGCUAUGCAGUACACAAACUCUUCCCUUCAUAGGUGGAAAGGUGGGCUCUUUUGUCAACAUCAAGCUCUUCCUUGGCAGCCUCAAGCUCUUCCUGUGACAUCAAGCUUCUCGAACAGUUGCAUUAAGUUCAGUUACUACAAAACCAUCAGAUUAGUUUUCCCGUAUAAGAUAAUGAAGUAAAUUCAUGAGUCUAGUUUGCUAGCACUUGGGAAGAGAGUUCGUUCCUCAACGGUGGCUGCUGGAUUUAGAUGUAGUAAUGCGGUGACUAAUGCACUGAUCGAUAUGUAUACCAACAGUAUAAUUCAAUUCAAUCAA
This is a long non-coding RNA of Spinacia oleracea (spinach), 1195 nucleotides long. RefSeq lists it as uncharacterized. The record is from RefSeq and is a predicted model, not a curated record. The transcript has 3 exons. Lineage: Eukaryota; Viridiplantae; Streptophyta; Magnoliopsida; Caryophyllales; Amaranthaceae.